UACGGAAGGCAGCAGGUGGGGAAUAUUGCACAAUGGGCGCAAGCCUGAUGCAGCCAUGCCGCGUGUAUGAAGAAGGCCUUCGGGUUGUAAAGUACUUUCAGUCGUGAGGAAGGUGUUAAGGUUAAUAACCUUAGCAAUUGACGUUAGCGACAGAAGAAGCACCGGCUAACUCCGUGCCAGCAGCCGCGGUAAUACGGAGGGUGCGAGCGUUAAUCGGAAUUACUGGGCGUAAAGGGCACGCAGGCGGUUAAUUAAGUUGGAUGUGAAAUCCCCGGGCUUAACCUGGGAAUGGCAUUCAAGACUGGUUAGCUAGAGUCUUGUAGAGGGGGUAGAAUUCCAUGUGUAGCGGUGAAAUGCGUAGAGAUGUGGAGGAAAUACCGGUGGCGAAAGGCGGCCCCUGGACAAAAGACUGACGCUCAUGUGCGAAAGCGUGGGGAGCAAACAGGAUAGA
Molecule: ribosomal RNA, 451 nt
Filed under: uncultured bacterium
Lineage: Bacteria
Description: bacterial SSU rRNA
Rfam family: Bacterial small subunit ribosomal RNA
Source: RNAcentral